This 4506-nucleotide long non-coding RNA is filed under the name Homo sapiens (human). RNAcentral describes it as "HSALNT0146768". The record is from RNAcentral. Lineage: Eukaryota; Metazoa; Chordata; Mammalia; Primates; Hominidae.
GUAUGUACAUUUUUUAAUGUCAGAAAAAUCUUUCCACAGACUUAAAUUAUCGGGAAGAAGUUUCUUUUUUCAAGGCAGAGUUGCUUAAAAUGGAUUGGAUGAUUUCCAAGAUUUUCAAAAUAGGUUCUGAUCUGGCUUGAGACAUUUAUACAUAUUUUUCAAAAACAAGACACUUUUGGGAAAAUUAAAUAAGAUUAGAAGAUGAGGCUUUCUGAGCAAGAAAUGGGUUUUACAAAUUAACUAUUAAAAAGCCUACUUACUAUAAAUUCAAUUUAAUCCCAGUGAAAUCCAAAAAGGUAUUUUUUCUUUUUUGGUGGAAACGGAAAAGUUAAUUCUGAAAUUUACAUGCAAAUGAAAAGUAUCUAUAAGAGACGAUACUACCCGUCAAAAGAACAAUGUUGGACGACUCACACUAUCUGACUUUAAGACUAUAAAAUGAUAGUAACCUAAACAAUAUGGCGUGAGCAGGCAAGGAGAUGGUUGGAACAAAAUAUAUGCCAUUAAUUAAUUUUCAACACAACGUAAACAGUCAACAAUUUUUCAGUUAAUGCUGUUUAAUGGAGAAAGAAGUUUCUUUUCAACAAAUAGAGCCACAACAACUACACAAAUGUGGGGAAAAAAUGAACUUUAAUUCUUACAGCAUAUGCAAAAAUCAGUUUAGGAUAGAUUAUAGUUUUAGCUAUGUGGUUAGGGCUGCAGGUCUCUUAGAAUCAUUGUGGUACCGUAAAACUAUAGAGCUUCUGGAGGAAAAUGCAAUAUUUUUGCAGCUUUAAGUUUGGGUGGAUUGCUCAGAGGGGACACAAAAAGCAAUAAAUAUAAAGGAAAGAGUUAAAAAUUUGACUUUACCUGAAUUAAACUUCCAUUGAUUGAAAGACUGUAGAAAAUGAAAAGUGGUCCGGGCAUGGUGGCUUACACCUGUAAUCCCAGCACUUUGAGAGACCCAGGGGGUGGAUCACUUAAGGUCAGGAGUUUGAGACCUGCCUGGCCAACAUGGUAAAACCCCAUCUCUACUAAAAAUACAAAAUAUUAGCCAGGUUGCAGUGAUCGCCACCUGUAAUCCCAGCUACUUGGCAGGCUGAGGCAGGAGAAUGGCUUGAACCUGGGUGGUGGAGGUUGUAGUGAGCCGAGAUUGUGCCACUGCACUCCAGCCUGGGCAACACAGUGAGACUCCAUCUCAGAAAGAAAAAAAAAAAGAGGAAAUGAAAAGUGAAGUCACAGAUUGGGAGACAAAGUAUUUGCAAUACAUGUAUCCGACAAACGAUUUAUCUCUCCUAAAAAUGACAUAAAAAACUCCUAAAAAUCAAUUUAAAAGAAGAAAAAUAGCCUAAUUUUUAAAUGAGCAAAAGACAGAUACUUUUCUAAAGGAAGAUCCCUAAAUGGCCAAGUUCAUGAAAAGAAGCUCAACAUCAAUUGUUAUCUGGGAAUUGAAAUUUGAAGCCCAAAUGAGGUACCACUACACACACACAACAAUGGCUAAAAUUUUAGAAUUGACAAUGACAAUAUCCAGCACUGCUGAGGAUGUGAAGAAACUGGAAUUCUCAUACAUGUGGUGGAAAUUGUAAAACUGUUCAACCACUGUAUGGGGUUGAAUAGUGUCCCCCAACUUCAUGUCUAACUGGAACCUCAGAAUGUGACCUUAUUUGAAAAUGGGAUAUUUACAGGUGUAAUCAAGUUAUAAUGAGGUCAUGCUGGUUUAGAAUGGGUCCUAAAUCAAAUGACUGGUGUCCUUAUUAGAGGAUGGAAAUUGAUACACAGAGACACAGAGGAGACAUACAGGGAAGAGGCCAAGUGAAGACAGAUGAGCUUGAGGCAGAGAUUGAAAUUAUGCUGCCACAAACUAAGGAAUGCCAAGGGUUGCCAGCAACCACCAGAAGUUGGAAGGGGCAAGGAAGGAUUCUUUCCUAGAGCUGUCAGAGGGAGUGUGGCUCUGAGAACACCUUGAUACUGGACUCCUGGACUCCUGAACUCAGAGAAUAAAUUUCUCUUGUUCUGAUCCACCCAGUUUUUGGUAUUUUGUUAUGGAAUUCCUAGGAAAGGAACACCACCACUUUGAAAAAUGUUGGCAGUGUCUUGUAAUAUUAAACACCUACAACUUCCCUAUGACCCAGCAAUUCCACUCUUAGGUAUUCACCUAAAUAAAAGAAAGCAUAUAUCCACACAAAUACAUAUAUAAGAAUGUUUAUGGAAGCUUUAGUGAUAGUAGUCAAAACUGGAAACAUUUUAAGGAUUUACGAAGAAAACGAAUAAAAAAUUAUGUUCAUAUAGUUGAACACUAUUCAGCAAUAAAAGAAUAAAGUACAAAUGCACUCUACAGUGUGGAUGAACAUCAAAAAUAUAUUGGGCAAAAGAAGCCAGACACAAAAAACGCAUGUAUACUGUGUGAGUCCAUUUACAUGAAGGUCAAAGUCAGGUAGAAGUGUUCUCAGGUAAUAGAAACCAGUGAGGGCAGGGACUGGCCUGAGAGAUCAUGAGGAAACAUUCUCACGCAUUGGAAAAGUCAUGCGUCUUGAUUGUGGCAGUGUUUUACAUUAGUGUAUACACAUUUGUCAAAACUCACUGGAUUAUUUCCUUAAAUGAAUACACUUUAUUAAAUGUAAAUUAUAACAAAACAUAAACCUUGGAGCAAGCCCUCGUAUAUAAUGCUUGCCUCAAUCAAAAAGAAAAGAAAACCCCACUUUAAAGACUGAAUUAAAAACUUCUAUCCCCAUUCCCUUUCUUUCUUUCUUUUUUUUUUUUUUUUUUGAGAUAGGGUCUCUCUGUCAUCCACCCAGGCUAAAGUGCAGUAGCGUGAUCAUGUCUCACGGCAGCCUCGACCUCCUGGGCUCAAGUGAUCCUCCCUGCUCAGACUCUGUAGCAGCUGGGACUACAGGCACAAGCCACCAUGCCGGGCUACUCUUUCCAUUUUUUAAAACUGCAUUAGUUAUCUACUUUCUAAACUCACUUUUAAUUCUUAACAGCGGAAGAAACGCGUUUUUCCCCGCCACUGCAUUUGAGGAAUGGAAAAAUAAACCAAAAUCGUUCAUCGGGCCUGAGAAACCUUGAGAAGCAUAUUACCCUACGGUUGUUUUUUCAUCGAAAAGUUGAAGGAUUUCUGACAUCUCAAUUAGUAACGCAUCUGGAAUGUUUGCUCUCCAGGAAUAGAUGUACCCACCAAAAGCCUUGCUUGCAGCCACCUCCACGUCUCUCAACCUGCCUGAGUGCAGGGCUUAUGUUACAAGGAAUUCUCAAAGCUGUGUUAUCAAAGCUGUGAAAUCAAAGUCUCUACCCCUCUGAAGUUUACCCGGAUGGCCUGACUCAUCCCAGAGAUGGACUCCAAACCUCCCACUUUGCCUGGAAACCUUCAGAAUCUGGCUCCAACCCACCUAUUAUCUGAGGGUCAAGUCCUGCAUCAGAUUGUAUUUUCCAAUGUUGGCUGCAACAAGAUCUUGAUGUGACCUUGACAUUCCUCCCAUAGAGUGGUGGAGUCUACGUCCCCUCUCCUGGAGACUGAGUGGAGCUUUGUGACUGCUGCAGCCAUUGGAGUAUGGCAGAAGUGCUGUUAUGUCACUUAUGAGAUUGGAUCAUAAAAAUGCCACACACUUCCUUCCUCUCUUGGAAUGCUGAGGCCAUGUUGUGAGGAAGUCCAAUGAGCCCCUGUGGAGAGACCAUAUAGAAUGACUACUUUGAGAUGUUCCAGCUUACAGCCCUGCUCGGCCCUAGCCAACAGCCAGCAUCUUUCACCAGACAUAUGAGUGACGACCCUCCAGAUGAUUCCAGCUUCCAGCCAGUGAAUCACAUCUAGCUUUCAAGUCUUCCCAGCCGAGGCCCCAAGCAUUGUGAAGCAGAGAAUGACCUCAUGUCUUUCUACCUGAAGCCUGCUAUACCAUUUGUUGCACACAACUUCUACAAUCUCUAUGGACUUUAUACAAUGUACUUAAUAAUGAAAAGCACUGAAGAGAGAGGAAGAAACAGGGAAAAGGGAGACCAAGUCAUAUCAGGAUUUGAAUUUGAAAAUCAUCCAGGAAAUCAGAUGAUGCCUGGAAGUGUAUUAACUAUCCUGAGCUGACAACAUGCCGACCCACUAAUGGAAAAUUGUGACUAACACACCUGCCAGGUUACUAGAUUUUUCCCUUCAUAGAUAUUUUCUUGGUGCAUGUUUGAAUGAAUGGAUGAUUAAUUGAUAAGAUUUUAAAAGAGUUCGGUUGACACCAAUCAUAACUGGAAGCAAAAGAGAUUCAUCUGAGUUCUUUCAAAUUAUGCUUGCCUGACACCUUCUCCACUUCAACUUGUUGAAAGGCCCAGGGUGAAUCACCUGCCUGCACAAUAUAACAAAGGGAACAGCACAUGCACCCAUGGGCCUCUGCUAAUCUCUGGGCUGACCUCUGUUAGCCCCAUGGUUAUUCUGGUCUAGACAGGCUUAUGCUGAGAAAUACUUUACAUUUUCUGAAGACAAGUGUUAUGUAAUUCUGGUGCUUAGAGAAUACUUAAAUGAUUCUUCCAAAUUGUGCUCCUAAUUUCUGAAUGUCA